AAAACCAAAAAGAAGGAUGGUCCCUGACUGCUCGGCCCAGCAGGAACCAAGAAGAAGGAGGAAGAGGCCGCGAAAUAAGCUCCUGCGGUCGCAGUCGUUAUGACCGCGGGAAACGCCUCUUCAACCGCGGUCGCGUGUUUCUGACCGCGACCGAGCACCUGUUUACCGUGGUCGCGUGGCUCCUGACCGCGGCAAAUGGUCGUUGAGAUCAAACCCGACCCCAAACCACCCACUUCACCUCAUUCCACCUCACCAAUCCCCACUCCACCUCAUUCAUCACUUCCCACCACCUUCAUCACCACCCAUCACCUUCCCAAACCUCUUCGAAUGAAUCCGG
This 337-nucleotide long non-coding RNA is filed under the name Eutrema salsugineum. Its description in RNAcentral is "long non-coding RNA (ESAL_LNC001867)". The record is from RNAcentral. Lineage: Eukaryota; Viridiplantae; Streptophyta; Magnoliopsida; Brassicales; Brassicaceae.